RNAcentral lists this ribosomal RNA (468 nucleotides) under uncultured bacterium. RNAcentral describes it as "partial 16S ribosomal RNA". It matches the Rfam family "Bacterial small subunit ribosomal RNA", at positions 28 to 507 of the family's 1533-position model. The record is from RNAcentral.
GACGAACGCUGGCGGCGUGCUUAACACAAGCAAGUCGAACGGAAAGGCCCUGCUUUUGUGGGGUGCUCGAGUGGCGAACGGGUGAGUAACACGUGAGUAACCUGCCCUUGACUUUGGGAUAACUUCAGGAAACUGGGGCUAAUACCGGAUAGGAGCUCCUGCUGCAUGGUGGGGGUUGGAAAGUUUCGGCGGUUGGGGAUGGACUCGCGGCUUAUCAGCUUGUUGGUGGGGUAGUGGCUUACCAAGGCUUUGACGGGUAGCCGGCCUGAGAGGGUGACCGGCCACAUUGGGACUGAGAUACGGACCAGACUCGUACAGGAGGCAGCAGUGGGGAAUAUUGCACAAUGAGCGGAAGCCUGAUGCAGCAACGCCGCGUGCGGGAUGACGGCCUUCGGGUUGUAAACAGCUGUCGCCUGUGACGAAGCGUGAGUGACGGUAAUGGGUAAAGAAGCACCGGCUAACUACGUG